RNAcentral lists this ribosomal RNA (254 nucleotides) under uncultured bacterium. RNAcentral describes it as "partial 16S ribosomal RNA". It matches the Rfam family "Bacterial small subunit ribosomal RNA", at positions 524 to 776 of the family's 1533-position model. The record is from RNAcentral.
AACGUAGGAGACAAACGUUAUCCGGAGUUACUGGGCGUAAAGGGCGUGCAGGCGGUUAUUUAAGUUCGGCGUGAAAGCUCCUGGCUAAACCGGGAGAGGUCGUCGGAGACUGGAUGGCUAGAGGGUGAUAGAGGCGGGGUGGAAUUCCGGGUGUAGUGGUGAAAUGCGUAGAGAUCCGGAGGAACACCAGUGGCGAAGGCGACCCGCUGGGUCACACCUGACGCUGAGACGCGACAGCAUGGGGAGCAAACGGG